CACAAAUGAUGCUUUUUCUCACGAUGGUCUUCCAAACUCUAGCAGUUUUGACGACACUGCCUAAUGGCAAUACUGAUGUAGCCAU
Oryzias javanicus (javanese ricefish) is the source of this 85-nucleotide small nucleolar RNA. The record is from Ensembl. NCBI's taxonomy places the organism in Eukaryota, Metazoa, Chordata, Actinopteri, Beloniformes, Adrianichthyidae.